RNAcentral lists this unclassified non-coding RNA (241 nucleotides) under Hevea brasiliensis (rubber tree). The record is from RNAcentral. Lineage: Eukaryota; Viridiplantae; Streptophyta; Magnoliopsida; Malpighiales; Euphorbiaceae.
UCUCUCUCUCUCUCUUUCUUCUUACUUGGGUCUCUUCUAUCCCUGUCUCCCUCACUCAUUUCUGACGAGAGACAAAGGCAAAAGGAUUAGAAAUAAUUAUAAUACUUAAGUACUUAUUUGUAAAUCAAAAUAUAGAGUAUACUUAAGUAUAAUAUACUUCCAAAUUUUUAGCAUUCAAGACCUAAACUUCCCUUUUUUUGGCACUUAAGGAAGAUGUACUUUUAACUUUUGACACUUAAAG